GUUAUUUUCUUAUUUUAAUAACCGUAGUAAUUCCGGCUGUUUGGAGGCCGCAAGCAACCAGAGGAGGAGGAAGUUUUUUUUUGGGGGAAUUCAGCGCAUCGCAAACUUUGUCGGCAAUUUCGACGGGAUUUUCAUUGUCAUGGAUUGUGCUACCUAUAUCCUACAAAUCUACAACAUGAAAGACAUCAGGUGCGUAAUGCCCUGAUCCUGAAUAUUCUUAUCUGCUUAAAUACACAUGCAUAGGCAACGGUGUGGAAUUGAUGUUGAACAAAUUUGAUAACUGGUCAACGCGAAUGGAUAACCAUGUGUCGCGAUUUGAACUUAAUAAAAUACAGUAUACGGUACAAACCAUGUGUUACAAUUGCAUUAUGGAAUGGAACCUCCCCAUAUCGUUCCUUCGGAAUCCCUGAGAACCCUCGAAGCACCGGAUCGGAUUGAUAAGACCGCAACCGCAUUUAUGAAACUGAUACGUUUAAUUCCGACAAGGUUCUGAACUUCUGGAUGUGCGUUAGAAACGGUGUCCUUUUGGGAAUUGCCAAAAAGUCUUAACGGAUUCGCCUAGUAUACGGUGAGCCAUACGAAGAAUCUUGUGCUCUGCGACAACAAUGGACCCAUCCCUUUCCAAUGCGAAGGCUUCACUUUGGACAAUGAGACAUUCGUCAUGAUGACGAGGACAAAAUUCGCCUUCCUUUCGUGUUGGUGAUCUGAUUUUGCAAAUCAAUGAAAAGGCGCGUAUUACAAACAAGCCUUUAGGAGAUUUCCAUUACCGAGGCCCUCGUCUAAAAAGUCGUCUUACUGAAAAGCACCACCGAAAGAACGUUGAAAAUUCAGUAGAUACACAAGAUCGGAUCUGACAUGGAAACGGGGCACUUUCUUGAUUCUCUAACGCACCCACACAAGAAUUCAUGCGUUUGAAAUUAAUAUUGACUUACAGUAGCUUAUGCAGUGCUUCGUUUACAAAGAAACUGGGUAUAGAAAUCCAAAGAAUUUGUUCUUCAAUGUAAUAGGACUAGUGGUACUCUUAUUAUCACAUUAUUGUGUGUCGUAUAAGCGUUCACACCGGUUAAGGCUCCAUGAACAAUCUUUACUCUUCCACGCCUGUAAUGCUCGAUCGGUAGGCAACUCUCAUCUCAAACUGUAACAGAUAAACUACGGUGGAAAUGACGACUCAGGAGCACAGGAACUCAGGAAUCCCUAAGCAGGAACACUCCAAUCACAACUUCCGGUCGCAGUUUCUAUGAGGAUCAACAAAGAGCUAGGACGAUUGUGUCACGAGCAAACCUGUAUUCUAUGCAAUAAUCCGGGAACGAUCAUGUACAUCAGAAGGAACAAGUAUUGCUGUCUCUUUAUUAAUGCACUUCACAGUCCACAACGCAAGGAAAUCGUAAUUAGGAAGCAGUCUCAGAAGUAAAUCUCAGACUACUGAUCCGUGACUGCUUCCGAUUUUAGUGACAACCAAAACUUAUAUAGACUUCGCGUUAUGACAUCACAUACAUCGCUAGUAAAAGAGAACAGCAAAUCACAGUAGAGAUUGACUAGAUUAUCCGUUAUAUUGCAGGUGGAAUGCGGACAGUCAGCAUCCGUACGUACAUCCCGGCGUGUGAUCCUACUCCCACACGUCAUGUGCAUAAACGCAUUACAGGCCUACAGUCGGAAUGAACGUCGCUGACUUCCAACUUCCAAGUAGCUAUAAAAAAUACGGUCAAAAACAAAAUUGUGGUGGAAGGUUUUAUAAGACACUGAGAGCAUUCAGUAUACCAGUGAAGAAUAACAGUAUCAUGUUAUUCAUAAUUUAAUAUUGAGCUCUGAUGUUUAAGCGCUCAUCGCAGUAAAAGUAUGUUCACUUAUCUGACUAUGGUGAGUGACUAGUCUUGGCCAGAUUGUAGUUCUACUAGAACUACAAGAAAGUUAUAAAGUGGUGACGUUAAUUUAUUACUGCUAAUGUUAUGUCAUCUGAUUUGUAAAUACAGCUUUAUUACGGUUUAUGCCAUAUAGAUAAUUGAUGUUAAACGCUCACUCAGUGACUAGUUUUGCG
Molecule: long non-coding RNA, 2035 nt
Organism: Paramacrobiotus metropolitanus
Lineage: Eukaryota; Metazoa; Tardigrada; Eutardigrada; Parachela; Macrobiotidae
Exons: 3
Source: RefSeq, a predicted model, not a curated record